AGCAGCCGCGGUAAUUCCAGCUCCAAUAGCGUAUAUUAAAGUUGUUGCAGUUAAAAAGCUCGUAGUUGAAUUUCGGGAUCAAUUAAUUGGUCGUGCCUCUGGUACGUACUGGUUUUAUUGGUUUCUCCCUUCUGACGAACCAUGAUGUCAUUAAUUUGGUGUCGUGGAGAAUCAGGACUGUUACUUUGAAAAAUUAGAGUGUUUAAAGCAAGCUAACGCUUGAAUACAUUAGCAUGGAAUAAUGAAAUAGGACGUUUGAUCCUAUUUUGUUGGUUUCUAGGAUCGACGUAAUGAUUAAUAGGGAUAGUUGGGGGCAUUAGUAUUCAAUUGUCAGAGGUGAAAUUCUUGGAUUUAUUGAAGACUAACUACUGCGAAAGCAUUUGCCAAGGAUGUUUUCAUUAAUCAAGAACGAAAGUUAGGGGAUCGAAGACGAUCAGAUACCGUCGUAGUCUUAACCAUAAACUAUGCCGACUAGGGAUCGGAUGAUGUUAAUUUUUUAAUGACUCAUUCGGCGCCUUAC
RNAcentral lists this unclassified non-coding RNA (520 nucleotides) under uncultured Glomus. RNAcentral's name for it is "SSU rRNA". It matches the Rfam family "Eukaryotic small subunit ribosomal RNA", at positions 569 to 1091 of the family's 1831-position model. Lineage: Eukaryota; Fungi; Glomeromycota; Glomeromycetes; Glomerales; Glomeraceae. The record is from RNAcentral.